Molecule: small RNA, 617 nt
Filed under: Serpula himantioides
Lineage: Eukaryota; Fungi; Basidiomycota; Agaricomycetes; Boletales; Serpulaceae
Description: eukaryotic LSU rRNA
Rfam family: 5.8S ribosomal RNA (bases 203-357)
Source: RNAcentral
AUUCAACGAAGUGCCUGUGAGUUGUGCUGGCCUCUCUCGGGGCAUGUGCACGCUUCAUGGGUCUUCACACAUCCACACCUGUGAACCAAUUGUAGGUCUUUCGGGACCUAUGUCUUCUCAUAACACACUGUAUGUCUAGAAUGUCAUUAUGAUUAUCGUCUGCUUCCUUUGUGGAGUUGGGCUGAUAAGAUAAACAAUAUACAACUUUCAGCAACGGAUCUCUUGGCUCUCGCAUCGAUGAAGAACGCAGCGAAUUGCGAUAUGUAAUGUGAAUUGCAGAUUUUCAGUGAAUCAUCGAAUCUUUGAACGCACCUUGCGCUCCUUGGUAUUCCGAGGAGCAUGCCUGUUUGAGUGUCAUUAAAUUCUCAACCCCAUCGAUUUGUUUCGGUUGUGGGAUUGGAUUGUGGGGGUUUGCUGGUGGACUUCUUGUCCGUCGGCUCCUCUGAAAUGUAUUAGCAAAGGUUGAUGUGCGAACCAGUGUCUCGGUGUGAUAAUGAUCAUCGUGCCUGACGUGCAGUGUCCUGUGCUUACAGUCGUCGUAAGACAACGUUUUGAACCUUUGACCUCAAAUCAGGUAGGAUUACCCGCUGAACUUAAGCAUAUCAAUAAGNGGAGGA